CGCCGAACCGAGGCUUCACCUCCACCCAGCUACAUCGCCUCCUCCCCAUUACCACUCCUGAGCCGAGCAAACCGAGGGGGAGAGCUCCGGCUUUUCUUUUCCAUCUCGACCUUGCCGCCGGCCGUGAAGACGACGGCCGUUGCCAUCGCCAUUGUGCCGUGCCACGGGAACGCAGAGCUCGCCGACGAUGCUCUGGAGCGCGCACUGGACGCCGUCAUCGGGUUCUCAUCGUCGUUCCGACCGAACCGAACCACCCCAAGCCGAACCCUUGCGCCACCAGGAUCACCUCGACGUCCUCUUCAAGAUACCCCAAGAAAACCCAUCCAAUGGCGCAGCGAUCUUGGAGAUCGACAUCGUGUUCUCCAACUCCAUUCAAUCGCUUCCAUCAUCGAUUCCAUUCUCUCCGUGACUCCCCUUACAGAUCGAGCAGCCGACGUCAUUCCUGGAGUUGUGCCAUGCCGCCAUGGAGCUUCGCCGUCGCUGUGGCUCUGCAGACAUCCCUAGCCUUGUCUAGCAUCUCGGUUUUAGAUUUAGUCUUUGAGUGAUGCGGGUAAUCGACUGCUUCUUCUAGGACUUGGAACUUAAUGGGGGUAAACCCCUAGUCGGUGUGCUUGUGGUUUGGGUAGACAAGCUUCCGUUGUUCUCUUAUAUAUCUAUUUGGCCGGUCGGCCUAUGUAACUAUUAAGUUGAUUUAAGUCUUUAAGUUCUUUUCUUCAAGUUGAUGUAAGUCUUUAAGUCCUUUUCUUCUUAAAUGUGUCUGCUAUGUAUGUCCAUGCUUAAGAUGAAAGUGUGAAUCUAGUGUAUAUCCUGGGAACUAGAUUCACAUGAGUAUGAGUUAAGAAUAUUUGAGAUGUUGUA
Molecule: long non-coding RNA, 858 nt
Organism: Oryza sativa Japonica Group (Japanese rice)
Lineage: Eukaryota; Viridiplantae; Streptophyta; Magnoliopsida; Poales; Poaceae
Source: RefSeq, a predicted model, not a curated record